Pipistrellus kuhlii (Kuhl's pipistrelle) is the source of this 1709-nucleotide non-coding RNA. Lineage: Eukaryota; Metazoa; Chordata; Mammalia; Chiroptera; Vespertilionidae. The record is from the annotation of a RefSeq genome assembly.
UGGGCUUCAAGAAGGGUACAAUUUGGCAAUAUCUGGAGAUAUUUUUGCUUGUCAUAACUGGGGGGGGGGGGGGGGGGGGAGACAGUGCUAUUGGCAUGUAGUACAUAGAGACCAGAGGUGCUGCUAAACAUUCUGUCUUCACAGGACAGCCUCCCCAACAAAGGAUUAUCCUGUGCAAUAUGUCAGUAGUGCUGAGGCUGAGAAACCCUAGGCUAGACACUGAGUUGUAAACUGUUACCAAAAGAGAAGGUGACUUAUAGACAAUUCAAGGACAGUCAAAUCAAUCCACUUACAUUUCCACAACUCCAUGCUGUUACUCGCCUCUAUCACUUCUUUACUCGUAUCACAUCUGACUUCUAACUCCCUAGCAGCCCCUUAUUCCCCACAUUGCUCUGGUCCCUGGACAGAUAAGAAAAUCACAGGGGGCAGGGCUGCAGUUUGCCCCUUCAAUAAACUCAAGGACUCAUUAACUGGAUUUGCUCCUAACUAGCAUCAAUCAAGCAAUGGGAAAUGGCCUAUAGCUGGUUCUCAGGGGGCACCUCAUAGGCAGUGUCCCACAACUGACACAAUGUCUGAGUGCAAGUCAGAUAUGCAGAGGAGGCAAGAUGUGGGUGGUAUCAUCCUGCAUUAUUGUGAAGGAGUCCAGGCAGACUCUGAGAUGGGGCGUAAGAGGGAGAGAAAGAGAGGAAGUGGCCAGAUGCUAAGGCAGGGACAGGAGAGGGAGGCAGCUGUUGGCAUAAGGAUGAUGGCAGAGAAACAUCCUUGAGACAACAUGCCCACCCACUCAAACUGUCCCUAGAAAUCCCAAAUUCCUUUGAAAAGAGCAAGUGUAGGAGGUGAAAAAGGAAGAGAACGCAUGUGAGGAGAGCUCGAGAAUUGGGAAAUCAUUCUAGGUUGUGACGUUGCAGCAACGCACCUCUCAGGGCUUGGAGCACUGUAGCCUGGUCUUCUUACCACCGGAGAGCAGAAUCCUGGGCUAAGGCCUUGCCUGUAUGCCCCGAAUCCACCAUGGGCUCCAGGCUCCUGUGCUGUGUGGCCCUCUGCUUCCUGGGAGCAGGUUCCCUGGACACAGCAGUUUUCCAGACUCCAAAAUACCUCAUUGCACGGGUAGGGGAUAAGAAGUCCCUAAAUUGUGAACAAAAGCUGAACCAUGAUGCUAUGUACUGGUAUAAGCAGGACUCCAAGAAAUUGCUGAAGAUUAUGUUUUCCUACAAUAAUAAGGCGCUCAUUCUAAAUGAGACAAUUCCAAGUCGUUUCUUACCUAAAUCUUCCGACAAAGCUCAUUUGAAACUUCAGAUCAGCUCCUUGGAGCCAGGUGACUCUGCCGUGUAUCUCUGUGCUAGCAGCCAAGACACAGCCCUGCAAAGUCACUGCCUCCCUGUGCACAAACCUGCUGGCACGGCCAGGAAGUUGUGGGAACAACAUGUUCACCCAACACAUCCUGCUGGGAGACCCCUGCCUGGAGUUUCAUCUGUAGUAUAGCUCACAGUGCCUAAUAGGGUAGUUCUCAGUUUGUAUGCUCAAAAGUCUUCCCAAUUCUGCUCAUCAGCUUGAGCAGGGAAUUGCUAAUAAAUUUACUGAAGUACUCAGGACUCUUCAAACAAAUAAUGGCCCUGUCACAGACACUGAAGAUCUUAACAGAUGGAAGAAGCUAUUCCUUUCUUUGCUCUUAUACAUCUUAUACAUGAUAUGCAUAUUAUACAUAAGAA